CCUACGGGAGGCAGCAGUGGGGAAUAUUGCACAAUGGGCGGAAGCCUGAUGCAGCAACGCCGCGUGCGGGAUGACGGCCUUCGGGUUGUAAACCGCUUUCGCCUGUGACGAAGCGUGAGUGACGGUAAUGGGUAAAGAAGCACCGGCUAACUACGUGCCAGCAGCCGCGGUAAU
RNAcentral lists this ribosomal RNA (174 nucleotides) under uncultured bacterium. RNAcentral's name for it is "partial 16S ribosomal RNA". It matches the Rfam family "Bacterial small subunit ribosomal RNA", at positions 338 to 524 of the family's 1533-position model. The record is from RNAcentral.